RNAcentral lists this ribosomal RNA (1341 nucleotides) under Triticum aestivum (bread wheat). RNAcentral describes it as "partial small subunit ribosomal RNA". Lineage: Eukaryota; Viridiplantae; Streptophyta; Magnoliopsida; Poales; Poaceae. The record is from RNAcentral.
AUGGCGUUCGCCGCGCGGAGGAGCCUCGCCUCCCGCUUCUCCCACCACCUCACCCGCCGCCUCCACCCAUCCGUCCCGCAUCUGCUCUCCCGCUCCAACGACGAUGACCCCCCAUCUCAGCCACUGCCACCGCCACUGCCACUCCAGUCACUCCGCUCCCCGCUCCCACCCGCUUCCAGAGCGGCCCAAGCCCUACACCACCUCUUCCCCUUCUCCCUCCACCACCCGGGGCUACCCCGCCGUAGCUUCUCCUCCUCCGCCCCUGCCCCGGACCCACCCGGAGAGGUUGAUGCUGCUGCGAGCGUCCUUGUCGACGCCGUGGCUUCGUCGGCGCCAGCGCCGUUCCCGGGGGAGGUGGCAGCCGCCGCCGCCGACUCCUUCUUCCCCUUCGCCGCGCUGCAGCACCUCAUUGAUACCAUACAUACCUUCACCGGGCUCAACUGGUGGGCUUCUAUCGCGUUAACGACGGUGCUGAUCCGGACCGCGGUGAUACCAUUCGCGGUUAGCCAGCAGAAGUCCAGCGAGAUGAUACAGGCAAUGCAACCAGAGAUGGAUGCCAUUAGGGGUGCAGUGGAUCGUACGGAUCCGAAAUCAGUGCUAGAGGGGAAAUAUAAAAUGACCGCACUCUUUCGGAACUAUGGUGUUACUCCAUAUGCUCCAUUAAAAGGACUCAUAAUCCGAUCGCCAAUGUUCAUGAUCUUUUUCUUUGCUAUAAAUAACAUGGUUGAGAAAGUCCCUUCGUUGAAAGGAGGUGGAGUAUUUUGGUUUACUGAUCUGACAACCCCGGAUCCUCUUUACAUCCUCCCUGUGUUAACAUCACUGACCUUCUUGGCUACAGUGGAGCUCAACUUGCAGUGUGGAAUAGUGGGCCAUCCUUCUGUUGCCAGUAUUAUGAAGAUGUUUAAUAGAGGAGUGGGACUCAUGAUAGUCCCAUUCACAAUGAAUUUUGCCAAGGGAUUUUUCUUUUACUGGAUCACGGCAAACUUGUUCACACUUGUAUAUGGUAUUGUUAUGCGUCGACCCGCUGUGAGGAAGUUGUUUAAUUUUCCUGCUUUGGAAGCUCAGUCUGCACCUGCACUGAAUUCAGCCUUGGAUAUGUUUGGUGGAUCCAAGGCAGUACCUUCAGCAAAGCCAUCUUUAUCACUCACGGAAUUGGAGGAAAUAAGACACGAACUAGCAUACAUGGCCGCCCAGCCCAGAGGAUCGCCGGAGUGGAGGAAAUUGAUGGCACUCUAUAAGCAUUGUUCUUCGGGUAUUGCUGAUGCUGCAGCUCUUGGGUAUCGGGCAAAAAAAAUUGAAAAGAAGGAGAAAUCUAGAGGCAAAUCUCGAAAGGGCAGGUAA